GGACGAAAGUCUGACGGAGCAACGCCGCGUGAGUGAAGAAGGUUUUCGGAUCGUAAAACUUUGUUUUCAGGGACGAAUGUGCGAUAUGUGAAUAAUGUGUUGUAAUGACGGUACCUGACAAGAAAGCCACGGCUAACUACGUGCCAGCAGCCGCGGUAAUACGUAGGUGGCAAGCGUUGUCCGGAAUUACUGGGCGUAAAGCGCGCGCAGGUGGGAUAAUAAGUCUGAUGUUAAAGUUCGGGGCUCAACCCCGUGAAGCAUUUGGAUACUGUUAUUCUUGAGUGCGGGAGAGGAAAGUGGAAUUCCUAGUGUAGCGGUGAAAUGCGUAGAUAUUAGGAGGAACACCAGUGGCGAAGGCGACUUUCUGGACUGUGUCUGACACUGAGGCGCGAAAGCCAGGGUAGUGAACGGGAUUAGAUACCCCGGUAAUCCUGGCCGUAAACGAUGGGUACUAGGUGUUGGGGGUAUCGACCCCUCCAGUGCCGGAGUUAACGCAAUAAGUACCCCGCCUGGGGAGUA
Molecule: ribosomal RNA, 519 nt
Filed under: uncultured bacterium
Lineage: Bacteria
Description: bacterial SSU rRNA
Rfam family: Bacterial small subunit ribosomal RNA
Source: RNAcentral